CACUUUUUAUUCCCCUAUUAAAGAGGAUGCAGGAUAUGGUGGGUUGUAACUUAAUUAUUACUUCUUUUGGUUCAGAAAUAAGGGACAAGUAUUAGUACUUUCCCCAAAAAGUUGGAAAUAAUCAUCAAACACUUGUCUGCAAAAUCUAAUGCAACUUAUGUUGAGAAAUCUAGACCGUUUGGUAACUGCAUUAUUUUAAAAGCAUUUUAGAGUAAUAGGAGUUCUGAGUCAUACACCCUAGGCUUGCAGAGAAUUUGUAUCGAAUUUUGCCUUUAGUGGAUCAUUUUAGAACUGAGACCAAUACUUUUAGUUGAAGAAAGGAGAGGAGGAGAACUGGGUCUGGAAUUCAGAUCCCAAUUUCCAGUUUAUUUGAUUUUUUUUUCCGCUUAUGCCAGGCAUGAAAAUAAAGUAAGUCAAUGCUUUGGGUCCUUUGAAAUUCUUUGUAUUUUUGGAGCUGAAGCCAAUUUAUUAACAUUCUUUGCCUGUCUCUUCUGCUGGUGUUUUCCAUCUUCUUUGGGCUUUUAACCUUCUAAUUUUUCUUUAAAUUGCUCACAGUCUACUACUUUCAUCCUUUUCUCUUUAGAGUGGUAGGAAGGGAAGAAAGUACCUAUCCUGUUCUCGCAUGUACGGCUACAGAGAGGAGAUACUGCUUUGUGUCCCAUGCUCCAACAUCACUUCCCUUAGCCUGUGAUGUGAGAAGGUUUGUCCAGGGCCAGUCAGUGCUGGCGUCUUCUUGCUAUCUGGGUUAACCUUGGCAAAGCAGCUGUUAGUAGCUAUUUUCAAACACCUAAAUCCAUACUGGAGAGCAAGUAAUUAAAACUUGGUAAUUAGAUCUAGUCUUUAUAUAUCUGCACAUUUAAUCUUUUCAUACAUCCAAAGAGGAUUUGACCUCAGGAAAUUGUCCCAUUGCCCCUUUGGCAAAAAGGGAGUUUGCGUUUUCCCACUGCUCCUAUGUGGAGGGUCCCGUUAGUGGCCAUGAUGUGUGAGCCUGUGUCUGUGGCACGCUUGAGCCAGCUCAGAUUGGAAUUUUCCAUUUACUCGAGGCCAGUCACUGGAACAUCUGAAGCGAUCAGAAGCUGGAAUUUAUGGAAAAUUUUAGCACUGAGAAGUUCAGCAUAUCCCUGAUUAAGAAUGAUCAGGUUUCACCAAAGGACAGAGGUUGGCUUCACUGAGCCCCAAGGAAAUGCGACCAGACUUAAACCCCGGCAUGCCACGCCCUGGUGAGCAGCUGUGCGGUACGGCGAGGUGACACAGAGAACAGCUGUAGUCUUCAGUGCUGUCUUGUUACUCGUGUUCUGCGCAGGGAGACCUGUCUAUGGAACCUGAUGGGCUAAACUUUGCCGCAUUUGCCUUGCAUCCCCGUCACUCACGUAGCUUGCACAGGCACUUCAUGGCUAAUCAGCAAGGAUGAUGAGAACCAAAUAUGUUCCUGUUCGUGGGCAGCAGCCCCUCCAUCUGGGUGGGUCGCCACAUCUUGCCUCCCCUCCUCUGUAGCUGUGUUUGGCUGAAGCACUUGCAGGCAGAGACUGGCUGAUGGAGAAAGAAACCUCAGAGUGGAAAUGGAGAAUACACAUGCUCAUCCGAGGCUUCAAGGAGGUUGACAGUAAGGCAAAGCCUGAGUGUCCAUGGGCCGCAUUCCGGAGGAGUGUGAUCAUGCCCCUGUUAGGGACGAACAGUGAAGGUUAUGGGUUCUAGAUGCAGAAAGGCAGGGGUGCCUGAAGUGCAAGGUCCUGGCCUUGGGGGCCGGAGGUUCAUCCAGGGUCUCCUUCAGGACAAAACGGGGGAAGUAAAAAGAUUGCUGAAGUAACAGAGCCCAAAUCAGCACUAGCUGCUCCCUAACCUAAAAAGAAAGCCAGAUGAGGAAAAAGGAUGAGGGGAAAGGGGCAACUAGGGAAAAUAUUUUUUUUAACUAUUUUCUCUUUGCAUUUUCACAUUGUUUCUAAGGUUAAGACACACAUACACACCCUGCUCCCAACCCCGCACUGUGGUUCAUUAAAGCAGAAAUGGCAUAUGUAUAUGGCAACAAUAUCUGUAUAUGGCAACAAUAACGCAGAGGGAAAUGUAUUUUACUUAAAAUCUAUGGGAAGGAAGUUUUAGGCCUGGUAAUUAAGUCUUUACUUUGACAUUCGAAUCUAAAUUGUACAAAUUGCUGUGGAGCACUAACAUCUGAAUUUUUGUUUCCAGUUUUAUUGAGAAAUAAUUGACAUACACUACUGUGUAAGUUUAAGCUGUACAGCAUGGUGGUUUGAUUUGCAUAUAUUGUGAAAUGAUGCCUGCAUUAGGUUCAGUUAACUCCAUCUUCUCACAUAGAUAAAAAAUGUUUAAAAAAGGUUGUGAUGAGACACCUUAGGAUUUACUCCCUUAACGACGUUGCUAUGUAUCACAAGGCAGGGUUAGCUACUACUCAUACCUAGUGCUUAUUUAACUUACAACUGGAAGUUUGUACCUUUUAAAAAUUUUUAUUUAGAAUCAAUUAAUGGGGCAGCCCGGGUGGCUCAGCAGUUUAGCGCCACCUUCAGCCCAGGGCGUGAUCCUGAAGACCCGGGAUCGAGUCCCACAUCAGGCUCCCUGCAUGGAGCCUGCUUCUCCCUCUGCCUGUGUCUCUGCCUCUGUCUCUUUCUCAUGAAUGAAUAAAUAAAAUAUUUAAAAAAUAAAUAAAAUUAAU
This 2665-nucleotide long non-coding RNA is filed under the name Canis lupus familiaris (dog). RNAcentral describes it as "lncRNA (ENSCAFG00845004418.1)". The record is from RNAcentral. Lineage: Eukaryota; Metazoa; Chordata; Mammalia; Carnivora; Canidae.